This 436-nucleotide long non-coding RNA is filed under the name Olea europaea (common olive). RNAcentral's name for it is "long non-coding RNA (OEUR_LNC002048)". Lineage: Eukaryota; Viridiplantae; Streptophyta; Magnoliopsida; Lamiales; Oleaceae. The record is from RNAcentral.
GAACCUAGGCUCAAAGGUACGUGUCUGUGGGUAUCUGGGAUUGAAGUUCCUACGUGAUUAAUGACUCUGUUCUCUCGGAACAUUCUUACCCUUUUUUAAACUGCCGACAGCAUUAGCUUUCUUAGAGGCAGAAACAAACACAGUCUUAGAUGGUCUAGUAACAUGUGUGCUACCCUCAACGUAUCCUAGACCUUUCCUAUCUCCUGCAGGCUUAUUCAUUCCCAAAAUAUUGUCCAAUUUCUUAGUCCCACUUAUGAAAGUCUGAAGAUGAGCAUUAGAUUUCUCCAAUUCACUAGUCAAAGUCUUAAUCUUGUCCUCUAACUUCUCAUUGACACACUUUAACUCACUACCACUCUUAAGUGAAUCCUGAAGAUUACUAGCAAGUUUCUCUUUUUCUCUUUCAAGUUCAUCAACCUUUUUGAGUAGGGCUUUAUUG